GAUUCUGGCUCAGGAUGAACGCUAGCUACAGGCUUAACACAUGCAAGUCGAGGGGCAGCAGUUGGGGUAGCAAUACUCAGAUGGCGACCGGCGCACGGGUGAGUAACACGUAUCCAACCUGCCGCUUACUCGGGGAUAGCCUUUCGAAAGAAAGAUUAAUACCCGAUGGUAUAAAGAGUUCGCAUGUUCUCUUUAUUAAAGAAUUUCGGUAAGCGAUGGGGAUGCGUUCCAUUAGAUAGUUGGCGGGGUAACGGCCCACCAAGUCUACGAUGGAUAGGGGUUCUGAGAGGAAGGUCCCCCCACAUUGGAACUGAGACACGGUCCAAACUCCUACGGGAGGCAGCAGUGAGGAAUAUUGGUCAAUGGACGAGAGUCUGAACCAGACCCAAGUAGCGUGAAGGAUGACUCGCCCUAGUGGGUUAGUAAACUUUCUUUUAGUAAGGGAAUAAAGUGAGGGACGUCGUUCCCUUUUUGUAUGUACCUUAUGAAUAAGGAUCGGCUAACUCCGUGCCAGCCGCCGC
Molecule: ribosomal RNA, 521 nt
Filed under: uncultured bacterium
Lineage: Bacteria
Description: bacterial SSU rRNA
Rfam family: Bacterial small subunit ribosomal RNA
Source: RNAcentral